This 888-nucleotide ribosomal RNA is filed under the name uncultured Pseudomonadota bacterium. RNAcentral's name for it is "bacterial SSU rRNA". It matches the Rfam family "Bacterial small subunit ribosomal RNA", at positions 58 to 922 of the family's 1533-position model. Lineage: Bacteria; Pseudomonadati; Pseudomonadota. The record is from RNAcentral.
CAAGUCGAACGAGAAAGUCUCCUUCGGGAGAUGAGUAAAGUGGCGCACGGGUGAGUAACACGUAGGUAAUCUACCUUCGGGUGGGGAAUAACCCAGGGAAACUUGGGCUAACACCGCAUAAUGCAGCGGCACCACAUGGUGACAGUUGUUAAAGCGGGGGAUUUUCGGACCUCGCGCCUGAAGAGGAGCCUGCGGCGGAUUAGCUUGUUGGUAAGGUAACGGCUUACCAAGGCGACGAUCCGUAGCCGGCCUGAGAGGGCGGUCGGCCACACUGACACUGACAUACGGGUCAGACUCCUACGGGAGGCAGCAGUCGGGAAUUUUGGGCAAUGGGCGAAAGCCUGACCCAGCAACGCCGCGUGAAGGAUGAAAUCCCUCGGGAUGUAAACUUCGCAAGAAUGGGAAGAAUUAGUAGGGGACAAUACCCCCUAUGAUGACGGUACCAUUUGUAAGCUCCGGCUAACUCCGUGCCAGCAGCCGCGGUAAUACGGGGGGAGCAAGCGUUGUUCGGAUUUACUGGGCGUAAAGGGCGCGUAGGCGGCCAGCACAAGUCGGUUGUGAAAUCUCCGGGCUUAACUCGGAAAGGUCAACCGAUACUGUGCGGCUAGAGUGCGGAAGGGGCAACUGGAAUUCUCGGUGUAGCGGUGAAAUGCGUAGAUAUCGAGAGGAACACCUGCGGCGAAGGCGGGUUGCUGGGCCGACACUGACGCUGAUGCGCGAAAGCCAGGGGAGCGAACGGGAUUAGAUACCCCGGUAGUCCUGGCCUUAAACGAUGGAUGCUUGGUGUCUGGGGUUUUAUAGUCCCCGGGUGCCGUAGCUAACGCGUUAAGCAUCCCGCCUGGGGAGUACGGUCGCAAGACUGAAACUCAAAGGAAUUGACGGGGACCC